Lolium perenne is the source of this 4602-nucleotide non-coding RNA. NCBI's taxonomy places the organism in Eukaryota, Viridiplantae, Streptophyta, Magnoliopsida, Poales, Poaceae. The record is from RefSeq and is a predicted model, not a curated record.
CAUGGGGGCUUCACAGCGAUCCUCCCACGUGAGCCGUUGGAUCUUCCUUGCAACGAAUCUCAGCCGUUGAAUCCUGACUCAGAAUCUACUAGCUAACCCCAUGCAAUGGCCAAUUGUUACCCACAUCCGGCUGCAUGUGGGCCCCACCUUUGCCGGUCCCGCACGUCAGUGACUGCGACUGGGAUCUCUAUCAGUGUGCAUAAGCGUAGGGCUGUGAAUCUCCACCCCGCAGGGGUAUUUUUGGUAUUUCAGCGGUGUGAGUAUAAAAUGCAUCAUCCCACGGAGGGAACCCUAGCCCACUUUCCCCCAAUCCCGUGCACAUCUCAUCCUCACCAAUGGCGGCUGCCCCUUCCUCUCCCGCUCGACCCCUACUCUCUCCACGCACGCCUCAGCCCCUUCGUCUCGUUCCACAACCCUGCCGCCCCUCGUGCGCCUCAGCCCCGCCGUCACCGUCGCCUCGCGCCCCCAGCCCCGCCGCUAGCUCGCGUGCGUUCGCCAGCCCGACCUCGGGCAGGGGCCGCCGACGCGGGCAAGGGGCCGCGCGACCGGUCCCCGCAUGGAUGGCGUGGGAGGGCAGCGCGGGCGACCUCCACAGGCGUCGAGCGCGCGGGAGGAGGGCCGCCGGUGAGGCGCGGCGCGAGCGCGCGGGAAGCGGCGCCGCCGGUAGAGGUCUGCAGGCUCCUCUCCAUCCCCGAGCUCAAGAGGACAAGCACAACGGAGGUGGAUGCCGUUACCAGGUUCAUCUUCCUGCUGGGAACCUUCACCUCCUCAUUGCAAUUGAAGCCCAUCCCACUGGUCUGGCACCCUAAUUUCUCAUUUUCCCUUCUCCCUCAAAUCCAGCAGCAAGGGACCAGUUCAUGUCAGCAUGAUUUGACGUUUCUCAUCAACCCGUUUCUAUUGCUGGAGUGGAUCAACAACAGUGACAGUUUUGAACACUGACAGCAAUCAUAAGUUGGUAGAUCAAGAAGUGCAUGGCCAUGUUGCAGUGUAUACAGCUCAAUCCCGAGGAGAAAGAGCUGCAUCAAAGCACAACGCCAGCCCAUGGAAGACAGAGUGGCAGCAAUGCAGAGAUCCAUCUUUUGUCAGGCCAAAUACAUAGAAAUACUGACAGCAGGUUGAACCUCCAGUAACUGUUCCUCAAGACGCCAUCGUGAAACCUGCUGGAGCUCACACUAUAUCAACUAUACAAUGCCCUCCUCAAUAUUCAUGUGAUCUGAUACAUGUGAUCAUCAUCUCGUGUAGCAACAACAAAGGUCUAUGUAAUUCAUCUAUGCAUCUCCUCAGUAUUUCUUGCAUGGUUCUACCUACAUGACCACUAAAAGCUCAUUCUGUAUUUUUGGUUACUGUAAUUAGCUUACUUCUUAGAUAUUUAAUUUAAAUUUCUUAUCAUCCAUAUAGUGUAUACUAAUUAAUGUUUGCCUUUCAUGUUGGAUACUCAGAAUGGCAUGGGAAGCAUCAAUGUUCCCUCAUGGAAGCCAUACGCAUGCUGCAACCAUGUUUUUUGUAUUCUACCUUGCACUUAUGGUGAAAUUUGCACUAGGAGAGAUGAAUGGUGGCAAGGGAUAGCAGCAGUAGGUCAGCUUGGUCUAGGAUUAAUAGUGUCGGCGGAGAUGUUUUUUGGCUCAAGAAGUCGAUGAAUGUUCCGGCUGGGUUAUCCGCUAUGUACUCUAUGUCUGCUUCCAGCUGGGUUUAGUACGUUUGUUCAAAACAUCCACCGUAUCCAGCUUUGUGCGACUCCCAUGGCUAAAGAGGAAGAAAUCACUGUUACAAAUCUAUAUUUGGGUACAAUUUGAUUGUGGGAUAUUAUGAAUAUCACACAUUAUCCUUACAUUAACUACUGAUCCUAUAUUGGCCAUUCAACGCUUCACUCCAGAGGCCCCGCAAUUCCCAGUGUUCUUGAGAGAUCCAACAGUGCUGACUUUAUAUUGUGACCCGGACACACUUUAUUGAUAGAGAUAAAAAGAUAUUGGUUUGCUGCAAAGAGUACUUACUUGAACACAGAUGGAAACAAAGGUGCAUGGUCUCAUAAAGAGGGCAUGUUCAUGUGCAAGGUAAGAUCUGAAUUGAUUCGGGCUGAUGAAUAUUCAAAUUAAUUUCACGGUUAUUAGAGAAGUGCCGCAGCUGAGAAGCCAAGAAAGAAAAUAUCAUAUAACCAAAUUUGAAAUUGGAUUAUCAUUCUCUUAGUGCAUCCUAUUUAUCAUGAUAUCAAUUCAUUCAGCAUAAACAUGUUUCGUGAUGUAGAAAAAGCAUCCAAUGUCAAUCAGCUUUGCAGUAUGAAAGUCAUUGUUUCCUGUACAUGAGUUUGGCUUAUUGUGGCUAUAUUUAAUUAACACGUAGUAUUCAACUUGAAUCGUUACUGUUUGCCAAAAUUGUCCUUUUUCUGGUAAAAUCAUGGGUAUCCCGUCAAGAUCACUACUAAACUAAAUAGUCUCUUUGGUUUCUAGACUUAAACUAGAAUAAUCUAUAGGUCAUAAAACUUACAUUAUCUGAGGUACUAAUUUUUCCACUUAAUCAAUUGCAGAACCGUAAACGAGGUUUGGUUUGAAUACUGACAGAUGUCUCGAGCAAUUCUUAUGCUACGGAUUAUGAUGUUAAUUCUCUAAUUGCAUUGUGCAUGUAAUAUAUACCCUUAUUUAGUCAUCUAUAUUAAUCCCCACUUUUAUCCUUUUCUUCAAUUCCUAUAUAUAGUGUAGAUAUGCAUGAAUAUUUGAUAAUCUUCGUGCUCCUUGUUGUGCAGAGAGCCUAGCUGCAUUUGUCGCAUCGGUCCAUUUCCUUCCCGGCCUCGCCUCUCUUUCUCUUCUACCUAGAAUCCUCACAGUACAUUGAAUUUCUGAUUUAUAUAUCUGUCAUUGUGUAUAUGUCUCCACUGGAUCCAAUCGAUUUUGUUAGUUGUUGGUUCUGUCAUGUCGGUGCAAAUGAAGGUGGUGAAAUUGAGCUGGUCUUAUUUGAUAGGAUGGGCAAGGGGAUUAUUUUUUGGCCAGUAUAGUUGUGUUUUUGGCCAGCAAUUUCGUGCAUUAGUCCCAAUAGUUAUAUUGUAGCUCCUGUUUACAUCCAAAUUGUGCUCUUUGUUUGAUAGGAAACCUACAAAGUUUAGACUUAUCAUCAGAAUCCAAUAGUUUCUAUAUGAGAAUGUUGUUGUGAAGCUAGAAUGGUAUGCUCUGGCCCUUUUCAUUAAUAUCGACUUUGUUUUAGCUUAUCUUUAAGAAAAUGCAGCAUGUCCAGUUGACAUAAUAAGCCCAUACUCUAAGCUUGAGAAAUGUGGUAAUACCCAUGUCUUCAUGGGGUUGGUUGCAAGAUGCCAUAUAUGACACUCAGUUCUAUAUUUUUCAGAAUAGGACUUAUAAAAAAUGAGUGCCCCAAAGUUUAUAUUAUCGAUAUGGCUAUUUCUCCUAAAUGACAAAAGGCUGAAAUAAUUUGUAUAUAAAUUCUUCUGGUCUAGGUUAGUUUUUGGAUCCCUGAAAAUGAUCUUCAUGUCCUGCUAGGCUGCUACCAUGUAAAAAGUAAUAUGCUAUGUCUUGCCCAUUAACCAUACUUAUGGGUCUUCAUUAUCAACCACUAAGAAACUGAUGCACAAAUUAGUUGAGCAUGUAUGCUAAGGAUUUUCUCUUCCUUUUUCAUAGAUGUUAAAAGGUAGAGGUUAGCCUUUCAUGAUUCACAGAUUACAUGAUUAGACCUAAAUUUAAUUAAUUAUAAUCAUCCUGGUCUUAAAAUACCAUUAGUAUGUGUAAGGUAAGAAAAAAUAGUGCCAGCUUCUCAAUAUUUAUACUAAAGAUGCUAUUUCCCAAAAAUCUUUUUGUACCAAUGAGGCGAAAUCUCCGGUCUGAAUUCGCUCCUCAUUUCAUUUUGUUGGGUAGAUAGUGCCGGCUUACAUAUGAAAAAUGAUGUUAUUUAUGUACCGAGAGUUCGUUUGUACUACACACGAUCGCUCAAGCUUGCAAUGCCGGCAAAAAGACCAUGACCAGAUCAUUCUCCAAGGGGGCAUUGAUAAUCGAUGCCUGAUAUGGUAGCAAGGCUACAUCUGAACUCGGUGCUUCCUAACAAAUAUCUGAAAGUUAGUAAAAUGUUCACUGUACUUUUCUUUGGUUGUCACUCCUUGCUGAUGCAUACUGGUAUCCGUUAUAAUUUCUAGCUGAUUGUUCUUUUGGAUUGAUUUUGCAGUGUCCAUGGUUAAUUCAUCUCUAACUGUUUGUUUUUUUUAAUUAAUUGUUGCAGUAUCUAUGGCCAUUUAUAUUAAUUCUUAUUUGUAUUUGAUGAUGUUAGUGAUGCCAACAAUUUGUUGAAGCCUAUGACUCUCAAACCCCCAUAAGUGACCUUCAACCUAUCUACGCAGCAAUAGCACGAGGAUGUCCUUGCUACUAUAAUAGCGCAUCCACUACCUGAUGAUGACGAUGCUCUGAUCGAGUAGAGAGAGGAUCAUGAGUUGAUUGCGCUUUGUACACGAGUUUUCUACUGUUAGGUGAAAGGCUUGAUAUUUAGGCCGGAAUGUUUUCCUUGGAUCAAGAACUAUUGUAUGACAUCGAUCUACAUCUUUUCCAUGGAUUUCUUGGCCACAUUGAUAUGUUACUUACUGGUUCAUUAUUAUUAUUAUUAUUAUUAUUAUUA